UACGGAGGGUGCAAGCGUUAGUCGGAAUUACUGGGCGUAAAGGGUGCGUAGGCGGGGAUGUAAGUCAGAUGUGAAAUACCGAAGCUCAACUUCGGAUGGGCAUCUGAAACUGCAUUUCUAGAGGGGAAGCGGAGAAAACGGAAUUCCACGUGUAGCGGUGAAAUGCGUAGAUAUGUGGAGGAACACCUGUGGCGAAAGCGGUUUUCUAGCUUAUACCUGACGCUGAGGCACGAAAGCAAGGGGAGCAAACAGG
RNAcentral lists this ribosomal RNA (253 nucleotides) under uncultured bacterium. RNAcentral describes it as "partial 16S ribosomal RNA". It matches the Rfam family "Bacterial small subunit ribosomal RNA", at positions 524 to 776 of the family's 1533-position model. The record is from RNAcentral.